CGAACGGCAGCACAGGGAGCUUGCUCCCGGGUGGCGAGUGGCGCACGGGUGAGUAAUACAUCGGAACGUGUCCUGUUGUGGGGGAUAACUGCUCGAAAGGGUGGCUAAUACCGCAUGAGACCUGAGGGUGAAAGCGGGGGAUCGCAAGACCUCGCGCAAUUGGAGCGGCCGAUGCCCGAUUAGCUAGUUGGUGAGGUAAAGGCUCACCAAGGCGACGAUCGGUAGCUGGUCUGAGAGGACGACCAGCCACACUGGGACUGAGACACGGCCCAGACUCCUACGGGAGGCAGCAGUGGGGAAUUUUGGACAAUGGGGGCAACCCUGAUCCAGCCAUGCCGCGUGCAGGAUGAAGGCCUUCGGGUUGUAAACUGCUUUUGUCAGGGACGAAAAGGACCGUGUUAAUACCAUGGUCUGCUGACGGUACCUGAAGAAUAAGCACCGGCUAACUACGUGCCAGCAGCCGCGGUAAUACGUAGGGUGCAAGCGUUAAUCGGAAUUACUGGGCGUAAAGCGUGCGCAGGCGGUUCUGUAAGACAGAUGUGAAAUCCCCGGGCUCAACCUGGGAAUUGCAUUU
RNAcentral lists this ribosomal RNA (574 nucleotides) under uncultured bacterium. Its description in RNAcentral is "bacterial SSU rRNA". It matches the Rfam family "Bacterial small subunit ribosomal RNA", at positions 63 to 628 of the family's 1533-position model. The record is from RNAcentral.